This 236-nucleotide ribosomal RNA is filed under the name uncultured bacterium. Its description in RNAcentral is "partial 16S ribosomal RNA". It matches the Rfam family "Bacterial small subunit ribosomal RNA", at positions 97 to 334 of the family's 1533-position model. The record is from RNAcentral.
GGCGAACGGGUGAGUAACACAUCGGAACGUACCCAGGAGUGGGGGACAACCUCGAGAAAUCGAGGCUAAUACCGCAUACGUCCUGAGGGAGAAGGCGGGGGAUUCGCAAGGACCUCGCGCUCAUGGAUCGGCCGAUGCCGGAUUAGCUAGUUGGUGGGGUAAUAGCCCACCAAGGCUACGAUCCGUAGCUGGUUUGAGAGAACGACCAGCCACACUGGGACUGAGACACGGCCCAG